Molecule: ribosomal RNA, 492 nt
Filed under: uncultured bacterium
Lineage: Bacteria
Description: partial 16S ribosomal RNA
Rfam family: Bacterial small subunit ribosomal RNA
Source: RNAcentral
AGUGAACGCUGGCGGUAGGCCUAACACAUGCAAGUCGAACGGCAGCACAGUAAUAGCUUGCUCUUACGGGUGGCGAGUGGCGGACGGGUGAGGAAUACAUCGGAAUCUACUUUUUCGUGGGGGAUAACGUAGGGAAACUUACGCUAAUACCGCAUACGACCUACGGGUGAAAGCAGGGGAUCUUCGGACCUUGCGCGAUUGAAUGAGCCGAUGUCGGAUUAUCUAGUUGGCGGGGUAAAGGCCCACCAAGGCGACGAUCCGUAGCUGGUCUGAGAGGAUGAUAGGCCACACUGGAACUGAGACACGGUCCAGACUACUACGGGAGGCAGCAGUGGGGAAUAUUGGACAAUGGGCGCAAGCCUGAUCCAGUCAUACCGAGUGGGUGAAGAAGGCCUUCGGGUUGUAAAGCCCUUUUGUUGGGAAAGAAAAGCAGCAGGUUAAUACCCCGCUGUUCUGACGGUACCCAAAGAAUAAGCACCGGCUAACUUCGUG